AUUGAACGCUGGCGGAAUGCUUUACACAUGCAAGUCGAACGAUGAGACCUAGCUUGCUAGGUUGAUUAGUGGCGAACGGGUGAGUAAUGUAUCGGAACGUAUCCAAUAAUGGGGGAUAACUAACCGAAAGGUUAGCUAAUACCGCAUACGCCCUACGGGGAAAAGCAGGGGAUCUUCGGACCUUGCGUUAAUGGAGCGGCCGAUAUCUGAUUAGCUAGUUGGUGAGGUAAAGGCUCACCAAGGCGACGAUCAGUAGCUGGUCUGAGAGGACGACCAGCCACACUGGGACUGAGACACGGUCCAGACUCCUACGGGAGGCAGCAGUGGGGAAUUUUGGACAAUGGGCGAAAGCCUGAUCCAGCCAUUCCGCGUGAGUGAAGAAGGCCUACGGGUUGUAAAGCUCUUUCGCAAGGGAAGAAAACUUACUUUCUAAUAAAGAGUGAGGUUGACGGUACCUUGAUAAGAAGCACCGGCUAACUACGUGCCAGCCGCCGCCGUAA
Molecule: ribosomal RNA, 500 nt
Filed under: uncultured bacterium
Lineage: Bacteria
Description: partial 16S ribosomal RNA
Rfam family: Bacterial small subunit ribosomal RNA
Source: RNAcentral